AGGGAGUUUGAAGUAAAGUAAGCAGUAUGAGGGAUAGAAACUCGACCUUCCAAGAACUCUCUAUAAUAGAAAGUUGUGACUACAUCUUGUUCUAUGCUCAAUGAAUGUGAUACAAGUGAUGUAUGAAUGGACAGGUUAAUUACAUUGUGUUAUGGUUUUAAAACAAACCAUAAACAGAGGGAAUGUAGAAUAUUGCAUAUUCUAUGUUUCUAUUGAUUAUAUAUAUGGAUGUGUGGAUUGACAUAAGUAACAG
Non-coding RNA from Pelobates cultripes (western spadefoot toad), 253 nucleotides. Lineage: Eukaryota; Metazoa; Chordata; Amphibia; Anura; Pelobatidae. The record is from the annotation of a GenBank genome assembly.